AAGCGACGUUCAACCUCAAAAGAAGCAGAGGGGGCUUAGUGGUGGGGUGACUGCGUACCUUUUGUAUAAUGGGUCAGCGACUUAUAUUCUGUAGCAAGGUUAACCGAAUAGGGGAGCCGCAGGGAAACCGAGUCUUAACCGGGCGUUAAGUUGCAGGGUAUAGACCCGAAACCCGGUGAUCUAGCCAUGGGCAGGUUGAAGGUUGGGUAACACUAACUGGAGGACCGAACCGACUAAUGUUGAAAAAUUAGCGGAUGACCUGUGGCUGGGGGUGAAAGGCCAAUCAAACCGGGAGAUAGCUGGUUCUCCCCGAAAGCUAUUUAGGUAGCGCCUCGUGAAUUCAUCUCCGGGGGUAGAGCACUGUUUCGGCUAGGGGGCCAUCCCGGCUUACCAACCCGAUGCAAACUGCGAAUACCGGAGAAUGUUAUCACGGGAGACACACGGCGGGUGCUAACGUCCGUCGUGAAGAGGGAAACAACCCAGACCGCCAGCUAAGGUCCCAAAGUCAUGGUUAAGUGGGAAACGAUGUGGGAAGGCCCAGACAGCCAGGAUGUUGGCUUAGAAGCAGCCAUCAUUUAAAGAAAGCGUAAUAGCUCACUGGUCGAGUCGGCCUGCGCGGAAGAUGUAACGGGGCUAAACCAUGCACCGAAGCUGCGGCAGCGACGCUGAUGCGUUGUUGGGUAGGGGAGCGUUCUGUAAGCCUGUGAAGGUGGCCUGUGAGGGUUGCUGGAGGUAUCAGAAGUGCGAAUGCUGACAUAAGUAACGAUAAAGCGGGUGAAAAGCCCGCUCGCCGGAAGACCAAGGGUUCCUGUCCAACGUUAAUCGGGGCAGGGUGAGUCGACCCCUAAGGCGAGGCCGAAAGGCGUAGUCGAUGGGAAACGGGUUAAUAUUCCCGUACUUGGUGUUACUGCGAAGGGGGGACGGAGAAGGCUAUGUUGGCCGGGCGACGGUUGUCCCGGUUUAAGCGUGUAGGUGUGUGUUCCAGGUAAAUCCGGUUCACUUUAACACUGAGGCGUGACGACGAGGCACUACGGUGCUGAAGCAACAAAUGCCCUGCUUCCAGGAAAAGCCUCUAAGCAUCAGGUAACAUCAAAUCGUACCCCAAACCGACACAGGUGGUCAGGUAGAGAAUACCAAGGCGCUUGAGAGAACUCGGGUGAAGGAACUAGGCAAAAUGGUGCCGUAACUUCGGGAGAAGGCACGCUGACACGUAGGUGAAGUGAUUUACUCAUGGAGCUGAAGUCAGUCGAAGAUACCAGCUGGCUGCAACUGUUUAUUAAAAACACAGCACUGUGCAAACACGAAAGUGGACGUAUACGGUGUGACGCCUGCCCGGUGCCGGAAGGUUAAUUGAUGGGGUCAGCGCAAGCGAAGCUCCUGAUCGAAGCCCCGGUAAACGGCGGCCGUAACUAUAACGGUCCUAAGGUAGCGAAAUUCCUUGUCGGGUAAGUUCCGACCUGCACGAAUGGCGUAAUGAUGGCCAGGCUGUCUCCACCCGAGACUCAGUGAAAUUGAACUCGCUGUGAAGAUGCAGUGUACCCGCGGCAAGACGGAAAGACCCCGUGAACCUUUACUAUAGCUUGACACUGAACAUUGAGCCUUGAUGUGUAG
Molecule: ribosomal RNA, 1611 nt
Filed under: Salmonella enterica subsp. enterica serovar Virchow
Lineage: Bacteria; Pseudomonadati; Pseudomonadota; Gammaproteobacteria; Enterobacterales; Enterobacteriaceae
Description: partial 23S ribosomal RNA
Rfam family: Bacterial large subunit ribosomal RNA
Source: RNAcentral